GUAUGUUGCUAGUCCAGUAGCUAGAGUGGCUAGUAAGUGUUAGCUAGCACAUGCUGUUUUGCCUUUGUUACAGUACACACUGUGCCUAGCAAGUUUUGUGCUGUGUUGCUACUGUACUGGAUUUAAGGCGAUUAUGAUUUCUAAUUCUCUGAACUGCUGUACUUUUUAUGUUAGAGGAAAAUUCUGUGUUCACUUGAAUCACAACACUCAACACACAAUACAUUUUAUUUUUAACAAUUUCACUGUUCCACAUUUGGCUGAUAAUGUUUCCCCCCCACAGCAUAGCUACUGUAUAUUCCUAAAGUUAACAAUCCGGUUUUGUUCACAUUUUCUUGCAGAUACCUUGGCCAGAGCAUAACCGGUUAUCUUCACCCAAGAGACCUACUAUUGGUCAAUCCUUUUGGCUUUAAAGGUAAAUGCAUUGUUAGUCACAAUGUCUAGUUACUGGGCCAAAAGGAAAAUAAUAUUGAAAAGAGUUGAGAGGGACAAACAGGACAUUCACUUGAAUCACUACAUGCUACAGAAGUUGCAUCGAUUCCAGAAAACCAGGAAAAUGUUGAGCCAUCGGUAGACUUCAGAGCUGAAACAGGUUUCUCCCCAGUAAUCCAGACCCCACUUCACAGAGCCAAGAGUUUGAGUACAAGGCACUUGACUUUCUGGAUAAAAGGUGUCGAGCUCGUCAAGUACUAAGCUUUACACCACCAGCAGCAAAUUUACCCUGGCAGCACAUGGGUGAAAACGCUGGAGGAGAAAGUCAUCGCUUUGUUAUUGGCCCUUGGACGCCCCUGGCAUCUCGUGUACAGCACAAAGUUUUCAGCUAUGAAGAGACUCCAGAAUGAAAACCAAGUUCUGAGGGAGAAGAACCAAGCACUGAGGGAAUGCAAUGCACAAGCAGCUUCGAAUGACAGCGGCUCACUUCAAGAGCAGGUGAAGCAAGUAGGGACAAUGUUGAAGACGUUUGCUCUCACUGGGCAAUCAGGUGCGUUACCUGAAAGGAGCAUCUGACCGUGAAGGCAGAAAAAGGCGCCGCACAACUGAGAAGGACCCACAGCCGAUCCCUUAAACCUAGGCUGACUACUGACACCCCAGCAUUACUGAACUGGAACACUUUCUUUAUCCUGCAGUCAGUAACAUCAAGAAGCUAGAAGUGUCAGACUACACUCACCAAAUCCACCCUGUUUUUUUUGUAUUUUAACUUUAGUAUUGGCUUAUUUCAUUCCGUCUUAACGAUUCUAUUAUAGUUUGUAAAUCCUAUUUCAUACCUGUUACUUGAUAUUGCACAUUAACUAGUACCAAAAUUCUACUUUCAUUUCAUCAGUGUGCUUAACUGUUAUUCUGUUGUUAAAUAUAGCUUGUAAAUCCUUGUGCCACAGGUCAGCAUUGCAGUUAUAAUGGUCAAUUCUACUACUGUUUUUACCUCUGUAUUUUUAUAUAAAUAUAUAUGUCAAGUUUUGUUUAUCACAGAUACAAGAGACACAGAUCUUAUUGCAGCACGGUGUAAAUCUUGUGCUCCAGGUCAGCAAUGCCAUUAUAAUGGUCUAUUCUACUCUAGAGCUUUACUCUAAAUUAUUACCACUUUUCCUAUUGUUAGAAAUGGCUUGAAAAUGUGAUGUUAUACCUCGAUUUAUUUGGUAUCCUGCACAUUCUUUGUACCAAAUAUCCUCAUUACUUAUGUUUACUGGUAAUUAUUUUCAUCCCAGAGCUGACCUCUUUAUAUUAUUAACAAUUAUUGUGUUUGUGUUAUAAUUUGCUUGUAUGGCUUUUUUUUUAACCAAAAUUAAAUUGGAAACCUGCAUGUUCUGUAGUGUGUAUUUAUAUGUAUAUUUUUUUC
Long non-coding RNA from Esox lucius (northern pike), 1831 nucleotides. NCBI's taxonomy places the organism in Eukaryota, Metazoa, Chordata, Actinopteri, Esociformes, Esocidae. The record is from Ensembl.